Zingiber officinale is the source of this 933-nucleotide long non-coding RNA. RefSeq lists it as uncharacterized. The transcript is spliced from 2 exons. NCBI's taxonomy places the organism in Eukaryota, Viridiplantae, Streptophyta, Magnoliopsida, Zingiberales, Zingiberaceae. The record is from RefSeq and is a predicted model, not a curated record.
ACCUGGACGGGGUCGACGGGCAAUCAUGAAGGUCCGUGGCCUAGAUCAACGGCCUCCAUUGCACUCUGGAGGCGCGUUGGUUUACCAUCUCCCCAAGUGGGAGAGUGGACGUCAUAAUUUGUGAUAGAGGGGGAUUCGCGCCUGCGCGGCCCCUGCAAUUUUUGAUAAUUAAAUUUUUAAUGUCUAGGCUACCAACUCGUUCCAGAAGGCCUGUUUCUCUCAGCCAAAGAAGAACUAUCAAAAUUCCAUCGGCGGCUUUACCUUCUCUAUUGCAGAGGCCAUUCUCUAGAUGCCAGUCCAUUCCUUUUUUCCAAUAUUGAUUUGCUCGUGAACAGAACUGGCAUCGACAGAACAAGAAAGCAGCCAGAGAAAAUCAAAAAGCAAACCUAAGAUUGCUCUGAAACAAGCAUAGAUUAAUGAGCUUGCAGAAAUUUUUUAAUGAUAGUAUAAACAUCUUUCAUAUCUUCUCCAAGAUGUUCAUCAGUAUCAAGUAAUUCAAUGUUAAAGCAAUUAACACUUGUCAACCUUCUGCUCAGGUGUAUCAAAACAGUGGAAUUGUUAUAGUUAUGCAGAUUUUCCUGCGAUAAUGGCCAGAGAGUACACAAUUCAGAAAUAAAGAGGUCUUCUGCUGCCUGGUGCAAGCCUGUAGCAGAUACAAUUGCCACACAAAUAAAUAUGACAACGGAGUGCUGCGAAGCUGAUCUCUUAACCUCAGCUAAGUGCUUCUCUUGGGCGUGCCAUGACCAAUAUUCUAUGAAGCAUCUUGCACAGCAUUUUGACUUUUCAAGAAUGAAAGUAAUUGUGUAGCUUGGAGGCAACCCAUAGAUCUUAAAAUCCUAUCAAGAAUGUAAAUGUGAGAACUUGGAAGCCAACCCGUCAACCGUAUGAUCUGUAGUCUCACUUGUUUCCUCCUGAAAGAAUACAAGACCGUAA